This is a long non-coding RNA of Callorhinchus milii (elephant shark), 245 nucleotides long. RefSeq lists it as uncharacterized. The transcript has 3 exons. The record is from RefSeq and is a predicted model, not a curated record. Lineage: Eukaryota; Metazoa; Chordata; Chondrichthyes; Chimaeriformes; Callorhinchidae.
ACAAUUCUGGAGAAGCCGCUUGAGAAGAGAGCCACACUUGUUGUCAUUGGGCUGGAUGCUUACACAAGCCCAGAAGAGCAGUGCAGUCCUGUGAAAAUGCAGCAGAAUGCUGACAGUGGCCGGGAGGAUGACUCGGAGUCCUGGGUCAGCAUGGAGCUUGGCUUGACGUGCGCAGAUGUGAAUGAGGUGCAGGUAGCUCUACAGCUACAAACAUACACAACGGUUCGGUUCUUAGAGGACUGGCA